AAUUUUGCUCAAUGGGCGCAAGCCUGAAGCAGCAACGCCGCGUGCGGGAUGAAGGCCUUCGGGUUGUAAACCGCUUUUACCAGGGACGAUAAUGACGGUACCUGAUGAAUAAGUCACGGCUAACUACGUGCCAGCAGCCGCGGUAAUACGUAGGUGACCAGCGUUGUCCGGAUUUACUGGGCGUAAAGAGCGCGCAGGCGGUCGUUCAAGUCGAGUGUGAAAGCCCCCGGCUCAACUGGGGAGGGUCACUCGAUACUGAUCGACUCGAAGGCAGGAGAGGGAAGCGGAAUUCCCGGUGUAGUGGUGAAAUGCGUAGAUAUCGGGAGGAACACCAGUGGCGAAGGCGGCUUCCUGGCCUGUUCUUGACGCUGAGGCGCGAAAGCUAGGGGAGCAAAC
RNAcentral lists this ribosomal RNA (396 nucleotides) under uncultured bacterium. RNAcentral describes it as "bacterial SSU rRNA". It matches the Rfam family "Bacterial small subunit ribosomal RNA", at positions 360 to 773 of the family's 1533-position model. The record is from RNAcentral.